RNAcentral lists this long non-coding RNA (1002 nucleotides) under Salmo salar (Atlantic salmon). RNAcentral describes it as "lncRNA (ENSSSAG00000093348.1)". The record is from RNAcentral. Lineage: Eukaryota; Metazoa; Chordata; Actinopteri; Salmoniformes; Salmonidae.
CGAACAACCCCUGCUGCUGCGGUAUCCAAAUCUCAGUUUCUCUCUUUACUCAAGACUUCCUCCUCCUCUUAACUUAGGUUGGUGUAAUGUAAAGAGCGUGGUUGCUGGGGCACUGAGGUAUGUUGCGUCGUGAUGAGACUUGACAUUUCCAGCUCUGCUCUGGUGACUAAAUGAUUCAUGUUCUGUGACCAGGCAGGCAAGCUCUCUCUAUGUCAGAGAAUCAACAGCACCACUUUAAGUCAGAACUGAUCUGAGCCGAGACACAGUAGCAAGGAACACACACGGAACACACACAGACGGUAUAAAACACACUCUGCAGGCUGCCCAGACACACCACCAGGGUUUCCCCACCCACCACCCCAGCCCCGGGGCCAGUGAAGGAGUGGAUUUGGGUACACUCUGAGGGAGAGUGAAAACCACAGGGUGGAAAACCACACUGUCCUUCGUCAUCGGCCUACUGCACCAGCUCCCAAUCUGAAACCAAAGACCCAGUACACGUUUCUGCCUCAUGCCUGACGCCCCCUCCUCCUCCUCACGCCUUUAUUUUAGCAGCUGAAACUGAACAAUAUCAUUAGAACAGAAGCGAGAAAGACAGAGGCAGACAGAGAAAGAGACAGACAGAUGGAGACCAAUCUGUAUUAUCGUCAAACAACUUGCUGUUUUCCAAGAAAUCUGUGAGCUCACAGGAGGAGGUGGGGAGAGAAAAGUAGAUGGGGAGAGAACGAUAGACGGGAGAGAAAGAGAGAGAGAAAGAGAGAUGAGAGGAAAGAUAGGAAGAGAGAGGGAGAUGGUGAGAAAGAUGUAGAGAGAGAGAAACAGAGAGAGCAGAGGCUCAAUAUGUUGAAACGUGCGCCAGAUAACCAGAGCGAAACGGUCGGUUCAGACCUACCAGGAUGGUUGCCAUGGCAACCAUUACCAGGCUCUCUCGCACUGUUGCUUUGUUGCUGUGAAGCCUUUGGAGGGAAACGACUGACUGCGAGAGGAGAGGAGAGAAGAGAAGAG